This 2908-nucleotide long non-coding RNA is filed under the name Aquilegia coerulea. Its description in RNAcentral is "long non-coding RNA (ACOE_LNC001104)". The record is from RNAcentral. Lineage: Eukaryota; Viridiplantae; Streptophyta; Magnoliopsida; Ranunculales; Ranunculaceae.
GUCUCUCUACUCUCAUCAUCAUCAUCAUCAUCAAUCUGCAAUUUGGUUGUUGUCGUCAUCAACAGCAGCAACAGCAGCAAUCACACAAAUCUGCAAUCUGCGUGCCUCUCUCCUCUCUUCAUCAUCAAUCUGCCAUCAUCACCAUCAGCAAUCUGUGCGCCUCUCUUCUCUCUUCAUCAUCAAUCUGCCAAGGUAUCUUUUAUGUUUAUGUGCAAUUAUAUUUUUUAUUGUUAAAUUUUGAAUUUGAAGAUAGAUUGAAUACUUUUAGGCUAGACACAGUUGAUAUGUAAAUUUUUUAGCAAUUUCGAUCUCUUUCUCCAAAACCCUCAUUUUAUUAGUUUUUCUAAUUCUUCUCUUUCUCUUCCCAAAGUUUUAAUCAAUUUCAACCAGCCCUACAUCUACAUCUCAGAUACUAUGCAGUAUGCAUAUAAACUUUGCUUUGUUAGGAAUUUAACUAUGUAAAAAAUUGAAAUUUUACACCUUUCGAUUGUCCAACCUCUUCCUUCUCUCUCUUUUGACUUAUUAGGUCUGAUAGAAAGAAAUUAAGGUCUUUGGUAAUCCUCUUUACCAGCUUAAGGUUUCUGCGAAUCCUCUUACUUUAAAGGUACAAAUCUCUCUUUUGAAACAUCCCUGCCAAUCUCUCUUUUUCUAAUAUGACACUCAUGUAAUCUUCUACCUUCUUAUUUAAUUCACCAAAUUUGUUAAAUUUUUAUUCAAUUCACUAUUAAUUAAUAUUUCUUAUCAUAAAUUUUUGUUCUUGUAUAUGUAUAACUCCUUACAAUUAAUUAUCAAUAUAAUUCGUCCUACAUAUGCUACUGAAAAAGUUUUCCAUAUGCUACUGAAAAAGUUAUCUCACAUUAUUUCGAUAGUAGCAUAUAGAAUAAGUUAUAUUAACUUCUCAAGACUGCAACCAUGUACACAGGCUUUAGGUUGUUGGAAUUAUUGUUCUUUCUGAGUGAAUGAAUCCUGCUUACUCAUUUAUCUUGCCACUUAUGUGUAGUUUUGAGAUUCCUAUUAUAGGGAUUAAUUAAAUCCUAUGUUGAGUUUAUAAGAAGUGAUAGCUUAAGGUUUCAUGAAUGGAUUGUGAUGGAUGUACUCUUACGCUAUUUAACUCUGUUGAAAACCAUAUAAUAUGUACAUAAUAGAUACCUUUAAAGUAAGAGGAUUUUCCUUACCAGCUUCUCUCUUCCUCUUGCAUCUUAACUCGAUCUUAAUAUCAAUUCAAGAGGUUUACUUGCAACUAAAUAAGAAGAAGAUAAUGUUAGAAACUUUCAACAGAUAUUCUUAAUACCAGUUUGAUUCAGAGAUUUGAGUUGGGGUAAUUUUUUAACUCUUAAUCUUCAAUGUUUUUUUAUCUAGCAAUUGAUUUUAUUUGAUAAUUUUUUUUAUUCUUGAUUCAAUUCAAUAAUAGCAUGUCCAACUAGAAUUUAUUUUAUUCUUGAUUCAAUUCAAGAAUUUUGAUAGCGAUUAUCUGUUAUAGCUUAAUCAUUGUUUACAAUUAUAGUAUGAAUUGUGUGAAACCUCUUCUCUUUUUUUUUCUCUCUCUCUCUCUUUUGAUUUGAUGUUUAAGUUGGGUUCAAUUUUGUAAAGACUCAAAAUCUAAAUGCCAGAACUAAAUUAUUUUAUUUAUUCAUCGUUAUUAUUUGUACAUGUAGUACAAUCGAUGAUAAUAAAAAUUACAUACCAUCGAUGAUAAUAAAAUUACAUACCGCAUACAAAUUCUUAGAAAAAUACAUCAAUAAAAUAUUAGACAUAUAUAAACAAAUGAAAAUACGAUCACUUAUAAAGGUGGAUCAGAAGUCGAGCUUCUUGGAUAAUGGUAAGGGGGACUUCUAGGCAUGUAGUCAGACCAUAGCGUUCCACCAUGCAUAUAUCUUCAUGUUUCAUACCCUUAGGAAGUUUCCAGUUCAAAUCAUGGAGGAUGUUGCCAAUUGUUGUUCUAACAAUUCUAAGUCCAAGGAUAUAUCCAGGGCAUUUUCUUCAGCCUGCACCAAAUGGUAAUAAGGUGGAGCCUCUUUCUUCAGCAAACAGCUGACAGUUCUUAAUGAAUCCGUAGACACAUGCACUUUCCUUAUUCUCAUAUGAUCUGCUAACUCAAGUCCCUCCUUGACUGCACUGAGUUUUUGCCAUAUGUCAGUCAUUUAUUGGAAUAUAAAUGUAAUUUGCUUUUUCUGUUACAGAUGUCAGUCAUUUCCUAUAUACUAGCAUGUAAUGGCUAGGAUUCAGUAAUCAUGCCCUCUUUCAAUGUGAAAAUUUAUUAUAGUCUAGAAGGCAGCAGGCCAAACCAGAGUAAGAAAGGCAUCAUAGCCAUGGUGGUAGACUAUAUAUUAUUAGAGGUCGUGGGUUCGAAACAUGUCAACAGCGGAUUGUUGAUAUAAGUUUCCACACGUAAUUUAAAAGGGGUAGGGGUCCCCACAACCUCGCUUGCCAACCAAAAAAAAAAUAAAUGAUGGGCUUCUAUCUAGAGUCUUUUUAAAUUUUUUGAUAAAAAUAGACUUAGAGUUUAGUUGAAUUCUCAAAGUGAUGCCUUUUUUUUUGGCUUAAGGGUGAUUAAUAUUAACAAAAUGAUGCCUUCACUGGUAUAUCAAUUCACUAUUAAUGGAUACUGGUCAUCAUCUUUAAGUUUAUUUUCUAUUAUAUUCUAAAUUGUAUGUUUUAUUUGACUUAAAAUGUGUUCUUAUGAAUAAUGUUAUUAGGUAUUUUUGGUAAUUUCCCUUUCGUUAAUCUAGGGUACACCUACUUUAAUAAUCUAACAAUUGUUUGAAAAAUGGGUUCAAGUUGAUUGAUAGCGAGUAUCUGUUAUAGCUUAUCACUGUUUACAAUAAUAGUAUGAAUUGUUUGAAACCUCUUCCUUUUUUUUCUUUUGAUUUAUUAGGUAUGAUAGAAUAAAGUUUUUGGUAAUCCUCUU